UGACCAUGGAGCCUGUCAGGGGAUGACUCCCGGGAGCCCAGCUCUGUACGCUUUGUAGGGAUCCUGCCUUUUGAAGAGGUCUGUUUCUCACAGGACGAGAUUGAAUCUAGCUGUGAGAAGCUGGUGAGACAUAAGGCUCCAAAGGGUUGCAUGAUGGAGUUGUCCCCCUGUUGUAACCCUUGGCUCUGGAUGACCGUAUUAUUCAAGUUUAGUCUGGUGGCUGCUACGUGUCAGAGCCACAGGCUGGAACAAUCCUGCUGCGGGCCCAGGCAAGCCAGUGUUUCCACCUGGCCACUGAUGAAUCUCCCUGCUCCUUGGCUGCAGCACAUCCCUGGCACAGCUCCUCCCUCCCCAGAGCUGGGCUGGUGCAGGCAAAGCUCCUAGCUCCCACACGCUGCUGGAGCUCCCUGGCUCCCUGCGCUGGACCUGGCCUGCAGGCUGCAUGUUGCUGGCUCCUGGUGUAAGCUUUCCUGGUAGCUACUAGAGCUCCUGUACUGAACCUACUAACACCACAAGCUGCUCCUUCCCCAAACCUGGUGGGACAGAGCCCAGCAAGGGGCCAAGGCAGUUUCUGGCUUUAUGCUGCCCUUGUGCUGAUGGUUCAGCCUCCCACAGCCUGCAUCAUCUGCUUCAAGGAAUAACCCAGGAGCGGGACACUUUGGUGACUUGCCUCUUUGCCUCAGCUUUGCAAUUUUCUCCUUCCCAUUGCACAGCUGAGCCUGCUUUAGCCCUGACCCUGAACGUUAGACAGACACUCUGUCAACUUCCUCUCCAAUCCCGCCCCUCUUCCCCACACCUUUAGCCAAACUUGCAGGGUCAGGUUUAUUGCUCUGGUGUCCUGCUCUUUCUAUAUAAGAUACACACAAUAUAUAGUGAUCCAGAGCAGGACAGAGGGCAAAUAUCAGUGCCACUUUGGGCGCCUGUACACGUGCAGCAAGGCUGCUCCAAUACACUAUAUUUACAGCACAUUGGAGCAGACUCGAUUAAUCGUGUCUACUUAAGCAUGGUAAUUACCAUGCUCUAGCAGACUCCAGUAUCGUGUAUCUGUUUCUUCAUGCUGAAAAACGGUGGGGGGUGCUCUAGCUAACGCUCACUGGGCGAGCUUUAGUUAAAGCACCCCUGCCUCCAUUUUUCAGCAUGGGGAUGCUGAUACACAUGAAGCUCUGGGCACUUUAAUUAGAGCAGCUCUCGGAGCCACUCUUAUUAAAGAGCCCCCCUGCCACCCGCAGUCCCAGAGCACGUCUAUGGACGCCCCUGGUUCUGGCUUCUGCCUUUCAGUCUCUUGCAGGCUCUUCCCCAGGCUCCAAGACCCUCCAGCAGGAGCAAAGGGUGCCAAGAUCCAGCUGAGGGGGCCUGUUUGCACCACACAGGUCUGCAGCCCAUGCAGGCAGCCCUGGGCCUUGGACCGGUAAGACAAGCACAACCUGCUAUAGCAGAAGAGCCCCUCAGGUUCGGGCUUUUAGGAAAGGCACUCACCUCCAUGGCAGGACCCAUUUCCUUCUCCAGGGCUAGUGGGGACACUUCAGUCCUGCCAGGGAGAAGCAGAUUUUUUCAGAGCUGCUGCUUCUUCUAGCAUGUGGCUCUUGGCCUCAAAAUACUGCCCUUCACUGCAUUGCCAAGAGCUUCUCACCACUUGUCUGUAGCCAGCAGCUCUCACGGGGCAUCAAUACACCAAAACUCACCUGGAUAAGGUUCAAAGCAGCCCACUUUUGCCAUGAAUUUGGUGGGACCCUAACAAUUCCUGAAUGAACCCUCUCCUUGAGGGAGCAAACUUCUCCAAGAGAGAAACCAGCAUUUGUCUCACAUAAUAUUUCCACGUAUAUGAGACCCACAAGUAGGUGGCAUGUGGCAUACUCUGGAAAGAGUUUGAGCUGCCUUUAACCCAGAGGAAGGAUAUCAGAGAACCUCUGGCAGGCGAAAUACCACGGUCUUCCUAUUUAGCAAAGAAGCAGGACAGUCCUUCUCUGCCAGGGCAAUCUUUCCUACACCAAAUAUCAGCAACAAAGAUGGGCUUAACUUAAAUACCCACAAAGUUUAGAGGGAAACAGUUCAGGGUAGGUAUAACGGGCAUGGGCAGGAUAAGGACAGAAACAUAAAAAUCAGCACAGCCGCCAGUCAGCGAUAAGAAACAACCCACCCCACAGACGGAGAAACCAGAGCCACAACUCCAGCCCAGCUCUCGCCGCACCUGAUCUCUGCUCAGUAGCACCAGCCCCAGCCCCAAAACACCUGAGAAGACGUCAGUCCAGGGGCUCACAUGAGAUAACUCUGCAGCGCAGUCGACAAGAGGCACUCUCUGCCCUGGCCACUGGGACAGGAGGUGAGUGGAGCAAGGUGGCCUGGGAAGGGGCAGGAUUAGGAGAGUCCCUGAGGCUAAUGCAACCAAUCCCAUGUCCUUGUAACAUCUCUCCUUCCUGUAACACUGUUUAUUUGUUCCUCACUGUGUGUUUGGUUUACCUGGGUCUCAAAUGGGGACUAUUUCCUCAAGUGGAGGGAGCGUGGAGGAGGGAGGUGAGCACCGCGUCCUCUGGAGCAGGGAUCUGCGCUGCCAGCCUCACCGCCCUUUGUUGGGAGCUGGCUGAUGUCACAAUGCUGCCCGGCUGCCCUGGUGCCCACUGGGACCUGGAGUGCCCAGGCGAGGGCAGCAGGCCUGGUGAGCUCCUGGCAGUCUCCUUUCUUUAGUCUGCUUGUUUUCAGGACUGAUGGAUCCGUCUGGGCACACGGUGCCCCCAACCGAGUGUGAAUCUGUGGGGCAGCCUCUGGGUCCAUUUGCAGCCCUUUGGCUGCUCCCUCUGUGGCCAUGAUCCCUCCCUGCCCGCACGGCCCGAGGACUGGAAAGCGCUGGCCCAUGGGGCAGCCCUGGCUGAGAGACUUCAGGAUUUGUUGUGCUCUUGGGCUAAACUGUGCAGAAGCAGUCAUUUUUUCCACUGCUGGGACCCAAGUGCAGUGAAUCAACUGAUUUUCCUUUGGACAAAUCUGCUGGAAAUCGCCUGUUUUAAAGUCGGGCCAAUUUACUCGGGAUCAGAAGCUUGUCCUUUGCACCUCUCUGCUCGAAUGAGGAUCAUGGCAACAUGGAAGUACCUGAAAUCUCAGCUGGAGGAGAAGAUGCAGACGGAGAAGUCGCCGACCGCUUAUCCCUGACAUAUCCCUGCCCUGCGUUCCCGUUGAGUCGUACACCAACGACUCUCAACUCGAGAGCUCCGGUUCAAGAGCUCUUCGUCCAGUUUCUUCUUCUGUUUUUUGUUUGCAACUGUAACUCAAGUGAAGUUGACUUUCUGCCUACGCUGUGUCCAUCAACAGUGUAAGUAAAGCAUUCUUUGUUCAACCGCUACGAGUCCGUGCCUAAUUCUACUCCGUCGUGAAAAAGUACCCACCUGCCGGUUCGGGCUACUGGCCAUAGCCCCGAGCCUUACCGCUCGACCCGCACAGUCAACUGACUGGGCAUGCAAGACAAUCACCAGCUUCCUGAAAACCAGUAAUGAAGGUGUUUGGUUAUCUUGGAUUUGGAACAUAACCCA
Molecule: long non-coding RNA, 3518 nt
Organism: Alligator mississippiensis (American alligator)
Lineage: Eukaryota; Metazoa; Chordata; Crocodylia; Alligatoridae
Exons: 3
Source: RefSeq, a predicted model, not a curated record